UUACUUACCAGGCAGGGGAGGUACCCUUCUUGGCCUUAGCUAGAGGGUAGAGACCUGUCCAUUGCACUGUGGGCAGGCCACCCCUAUGAGAGUCUAUUAAAGCCUCUCAGUGGGAGGAUCUUGGCUACACAAUUUAUAGUGAUGGGGGACUGCUCUCAGGCUUUCCCUUU
Small nuclear RNA from Alligator sinensis (Chinese alligator), 170 nucleotides. RefSeq annotates it as U1 spliceosomal RNA. The transcript has a single exon. The record is from RefSeq and is a predicted model, not a curated record. NCBI's taxonomy places the organism in Eukaryota, Metazoa, Chordata, Crocodylia, Alligatoridae.